AAACAUUUCUAUAAAGUAACCAGCGCAGUGUUCCAACACCAGAAGCAGCAUAUGGAGGAAACAUAUAGACAAAGCUUUUAACGGUAAAGUGAGGUGCAACAGACCUUUGUUUAAUCGAAGCACGCUUCACUGGGAAUUUUAACCAAUCAUGAACAAGCGGAGUAAGCUCAAUACACAGCCAUGGAUAUAAUGUUUCUCUGAAUAGUGAUCGAGAUUGUUUAUUAUUCUGCUAUGCAAUAUCACGUCAAGGAUAGUGUAAUCAAAAUAACUUCACAACUCAGAAUAAACGACAAUUUCCCACCAAUGAAGAGCUGACAUUCGAGCCCGAAUCAUGACACUUUCGUUGAAAUUUAGGCAUCAACGAGGUAGUUAUGAAUAAAUUGCACUCGCUUCCAAUAAAAGAGAACUGGCUGCAAGAUACUAUCAAGAAACUAUAUAAACGUGUCGCUUAAUCAUCCUUUUGCGAACUUCAAUAAAGUUGAGGAUAAAAAAAAAUACGCAAUGACGUUGGUUAUUGUUUUA
Octopus sinensis (East Asian common octopus) is the source of this 522-nucleotide long non-coding RNA. RefSeq lists it as uncharacterized. NCBI's taxonomy places the organism in Eukaryota, Metazoa, Mollusca, Cephalopoda, Octopoda, Octopodidae. The record is from RefSeq and is a predicted model, not a curated record. The transcript has 3 exons.